This 492-nucleotide ribosomal RNA is filed under the name uncultured bacterium. RNAcentral describes it as "partial 16S ribosomal RNA". It matches the Rfam family "Bacterial small subunit ribosomal RNA", at positions 29 to 507 of the family's 1533-position model. The record is from RNAcentral.
AGUGAACGCUGGCGGUAGGCCUAACACAUGCAAGUCGAACGGCAGCACAGUAAGAGCUUGCUCUUACGGGUGGCGAGUGGCGGACGGGUUAGGAAUACAUCGGAAUCUACUUUUUCGUGGGGGAUAACGUAGGGAAACUUACGCUAAUACCGCAUACGACCUACGGGUGAAAGCAGGUGAUCUUCGGACCUUGCGCGAUUGAAUGAGCCGAUGUCGGAUUAGCUAGUUGGCGGGGUAAAGGCCCACCAAGGCGACGAUCCGUAGCUGGUCUGAGAGGAUGAUAAGACAAACUGGAACUGAGACAAGGUCAAGACUCCUAAGGGAGGCAGCAGUGGGGAAUAUUGGACAAUGGGCGCAAGACUGAUCCAGCCAUAAAGCGUGGGUGAAGAAGGCCUGCGGGUUGUAAAGCCCUUUUGUUGGGAAAGAAAAGCAGCAGGUUAAUACCCCGCUGUUCUGACGGUACACAAAGAAUAAGCACCGGCUAACUUCGUG